AGUGAACGCUGGCGGUAGGCCUAACACAUGCAAGUCGAACGGCAGCACAGGAGAGCUUGCUCUCUGGGUGGCGAGUGGCGGACGGGUGAGGAAUACAUCGGAAUCUGCCCAGUCGUGGGGGAUAACGUAGGGAAACUUACGCUAAUACCGCAUACGACCUUCGGGUGAAAGAGGGGGAUCGCAAGACCUCUGGCGAUUGGAUGAGCCGAUGUCGGAUUAGCGAGUUGGCGGGGUAAUGGCCCACCAAGGCGACGACCCGUAGCUGGUCUGAGAGGAUGACCAGCCACACUGGAACUGAGACACGGUCCAGACUCCUACGGGAGGCAGCAGUGGAGAAUAUUGGGCAUUGGGCGCAAGCCUGAUCCAGCCAUGCCGCGUCGGUGAAGAAGGCCUUCGGGUUGUAAAGCCCUUUUGUUGGGAAAGAAAUCUUUCAGGCUAAUACCCUGGGAGGAUGACGGUACUCAACGAGUAAGCACCGGCUAACUUCGUG
Molecule: ribosomal RNA, 490 nt
Filed under: uncultured bacterium
Lineage: Bacteria
Description: partial 16S ribosomal RNA
Rfam family: Bacterial small subunit ribosomal RNA
Source: RNAcentral